UCGCUCGGGUUUCUCUUCAUCUCGUACAAAUCUUUCACCUUUUACUAAAGAUUUCUGUGGAGGGGUAUUUUGGUGGCAGCUGUGCCCUACUGGUUAGUGCCUUGGACUUGUAACCGGAGG
Molecule: small nuclear RNA, 120 nt
Organism: Alosa alosa (allis shad)
Lineage: Eukaryota; Metazoa; Chordata; Actinopteri; Clupeiformes; Clupeidae
Product: U5 spliceosomal RNA
Exons: 1
Source: RefSeq, a predicted model, not a curated record